Molecule: long non-coding RNA, 787 nt
Filed under: Homo sapiens (human)
Lineage: Eukaryota; Metazoa; Chordata; Mammalia; Primates; Hominidae
Description: HSALNT0300939
Source: RNAcentral
GUGACCUUUGCGCGCAGCUCAAUUAUUGCGCGGGCUGGGGGCGGGGCCUGCGGGGAAGGGACAGAGCCAAGCCCAGCCUUGAGCCAUCCUCGCCCCUGUGGCGGAAAUGGGAGGGUGCCUGGAGGAGUGGAGGGAUUGGAUUUACACCCUCUUUUCCCUCCGAAGCCUCCUUGGUGGGGGCGAAGAAAGACCAUCCAACCCUGCCAAAGGCAAAAGGAUUAAGGAUAAAUGAAAGCAAGAUAAUGUAGAAGAACUACUUAGCUGCUGGGUUUUUGGAGAUGAGUGAUUUUUUUUUGUAGGGAGAAAUUAUGAAACACAUUGAAAUGGACAAAAAAUUACUGAAUGUCUUCAAUGAAAAAACAGCCAUAGUUUGGCACACCGUCCCGGGCAUUCUGUUGCUAGAGGGGCUGUCCGCUUUUCUUUGUGGUGCUCUGCACAACUCGGCAGUUGCGGUUUUCCUGCCCUUGGGACGUGCAAUUAUGUUGUCCAGCCCGCUGCCAGAGGACAGCAGGAAGGGAGAUGUGUUGUCCACCCCACUGCCACUGGACCACUUCUAUACAUAGCUGGUUCUUCUGUCCAGCCCGCUGCCACUGGACUCUUUCCCCUCUGUCACCACUGGACUGUAAGCUCCUAAUACAAACCCAUGUCUCAUUUACUGGCUCUCCAGUCUCUUCUUGGCCUCUUGAACCUGGUACCUUCUCUAUUGAGGAAAGCAACUAGAGUAUUUGUGAGCAGUGAUUAAACUAGAGCUUUCAAGAGGAAAAUGAGAGAUUUGGAAGAAAUUGUG